This 89-nucleotide small RNA is filed under the name Sinorhizobium meliloti 2011. Its description in RNAcentral is "putative ncRNA". The record is from RNAcentral. Lineage: Bacteria; Pseudomonadati; Pseudomonadota; Alphaproteobacteria; Hyphomicrobiales; Rhizobiaceae.
CUGUCGACCAACUCACGGGCUUCGCCAAUCAAAUCGCUGCGAUCUGCUUUGCCCUUCGUGGCGAUGAUGCGCAGUCUCGUGAGUGCGGC